AGUGAACGCUGGCGGUAGGCCUAACACAUGCAAGUCGAACGGCAGCACAGUAAGAGCUUGCUCUUACGGGUGGCGAGUGGCGGACGGGUGAGGAAUACAUCGGAAUCUACUUUUUGUGGGGGGUUACGGAAGGAAACUUACGCCUAUACCGCAUAAGAACUUCCGGGGGAAGCCAGGGGACCUUGGACCUUGGGCGGAUAAAUUAACCGGAUUCCGGAUUAGCUAGUUGGCGGGGUAAAGGCCCACCAAGGCGACGAUCCGUAGCUGGUCUGAGAGGAUGAUCAGCCACACUGGAACUGAGACACGGUCCAGACUCCUACGGGAGGCAGCAGUGGGGAAUAUUGGACAAUGGGCGCAAGCCUGAUCCAGCCAUACCGCGUGGGUGAAGAAGGCCUUCGGGUUGUAAAGCCCUUUUGUUGGGAAAGAAAAGCAGCAGGUUAAUACCCCGCUGUUCUGACGGUACCCAAAGAAUAAGCACCGGCUAACUUCGUG
This 492-nucleotide ribosomal RNA is filed under the name uncultured bacterium. RNAcentral's name for it is "partial 16S ribosomal RNA". It matches the Rfam family "Bacterial small subunit ribosomal RNA", at positions 29 to 507 of the family's 1533-position model. The record is from RNAcentral.